RNAcentral lists this ribosomal RNA (581 nucleotides) under uncultured bacterium. RNAcentral describes it as "partial 16S ribosomal RNA". It matches the Rfam family "Bacterial small subunit ribosomal RNA", at positions 357 to 1375 of the family's 1533-position model. The record is from RNAcentral.
UGGGAAUUUGGACAAUGGGCGAAAGCCUGAUCCAGCAAUGCCGCGUGUGUGAAGAAGGCCUUCGGGUUGUAAAGCACUUUUGUCCGGAAAGAAAUCCUUGGCUCUAAUACAGUCGGGGGAUGACGGUACCGGAAGAAUAAGCACCGGCUAACUACGUGCCAGCAGCCGCGGUAAUACGUAGGGUGCAAGCGUUAAUCGGAAUUACUGGGCGUAAAGCGUGCGCAGGCGGUUUGCUAAGACCGAUGUGAAAUCCCCGGGCUCAACCUGGGAACUGCAUUGGUGACUGGCAGGCUAGAGUAUGGCAGAGGGGGGUAGAAUUCCACGUGUAGCAGUGAAAUGCGUAGAGAUGUGGAGGAAUACCGAUGGCGAAGGCAGCCCCCUGGGCAAUACUGACGCUCAUGCACGAAAGCGUGGGGAGCAAACAGGAUUAGAUACCCUGGUAGUCCACGCCCUAAACGAUGUCAACUAGUUGUUGGGGAUUCAUUCCUUAGUAACGUAGCUAACGCGUGAAGUUGACCGCCUGGGGAGUACGGUCGCAAGAUUAAAACUCAAAUGAAUUGACGGGGUCAUAGCUGUUUCCU